UUAGGCAGGCUGCAGUGGAGGAGGGUACGCCGUUCCAUUGGCGUGGUACUGUCGGCGGCCCUUCAGAGGAGAUGCUGCCCCACGGAACGCCUGGCAAGUGCUGGCGAAGCGGCAUGGGCGUCCCACUCCGUUCCUCAACCAAUUUCCUCACAAUCGCGAGCCGAAGUGUGGCGCUUUGGCAGUUUCGCAAGGUCUUUUGUCAGGAGAUGAGUUACUGAGGAUUGGGGGUCUUUGGAGCUCUUGGACCUGAAGAACGAUUAAGUUUUUCUCCCUUCAGAGAGCCAAGAGAUGGGGUCUUGCUGUGUUGCCCAGGGUGGAGUGCAGUGGCUAUUCACAGGUGUGAUCAUAGCUACUAUAGCCUCAAACCCUGGGUUCAAGUGAGUCCUUUGAACUAGAACAUUGGCCUUUUCUGGUUCUGCAGAAGCUUCCAGCCUUCAGAUUUGAACUGGGACACUGGCUCUGCAGAUUUUGGACUUGCCAGCCUUCAUAAUUGUAACCUACACUCCUGUCAUUUGUGGAAUGAUUGCUGGAGCCAGAGGCCAGGAAGAAGUUCAUGAGCCUGAGAGAAAAAGCAAGGAUUUCCAGUUCUACCCUGUAAGUCACUGAGCUCACUGAGCUUCAUUUUUCUUAUCCAUCAAAUGGGGAUAUUGAUUUUUUUUUUUUUUUUGAGACCAAGUUUCAUUCUUGUCACCCAGGCUGGAGUACAGUGGCGUGCUCUCGUCUCACUGCUACCUCUGGCUUCCGGGUUCGAGUGAUUCUCCUACCUCAGCCUCCUGAGUAACUGGGAUUACAAGUGUGUAC
Molecule: long non-coding RNA, 801 nt
Filed under: Homo sapiens (human)
Lineage: Eukaryota; Metazoa; Chordata; Mammalia; Primates; Hominidae
Description: HSALNT0342228
Source: RNAcentral